Long non-coding RNA from Mauremys mutica (yellowpond turtle), 354 nucleotides. RefSeq lists it as uncharacterized. Lineage: Eukaryota; Metazoa; Chordata; Testudines; Geoemydidae. The record is from RefSeq and is a predicted model, not a curated record. The transcript has 3 exons.
AGGUUUCCAUAGAAGCGUUCUGUCACAGAACCCGGUGUCUCUCCAGAGAAUUUAUCUUACCGUUCCAUGGAAAUUACCAUAUUGUAGCUGUGCAUGCAACCAUGUGCACCUGCUUUGAAUCCAAGCCCCACAACCCCCACCCCCUCCGACUCAAAAGCUGCCUAUGUACUCACUCAAAUUACUAGCAGGUGUCAGUGACUGAAGAUCUGGCUUGAAAUGGGAGAAAAAGCACCCACAUCGAACAAACCUGGGGGAAUACGGACCCAUUUGGCUCAUCCCAUCAAUCUGAAAGUCCCAAAGACAAGAUGUAAGAAGCAGUUCCGAGCAUGAAAUAAACAGCGCGCUGGAUUCAAA